GAGAGAGAGAGAGAGAGAGAGAGAGAGAGAGAGAGAGAGAGGUGUGUGAGAUUUAAGGACCAAGGGGGUUGCUGUUAUGGUGGAGAGGGUCCGGCCCACCUGGAACUUGCCUCGCCAUGUCCUCCACAGCUUGGAAAACUCUGUCUUCUCUUCCCUUCCCAAAUCUCUCAGCCUCGUAGAUAUGCAUCCCCUUUUCACAAACAUUAAAAAUAAAUAUAAACAAGGGAAAAAUAACACUUUUUUGAAAAUAAAAGUGUGAGUUUAGAGAGAGAAAAUGCGGUUUGUAGAAGUGUACAAGAACAUAUGGGGGGAAAGGAGGGUUUUUCUAAAGAAAUUAUCGAAAGACUUUAACUUUGAAAUUUGUUACCUUUGAGCCUGUUUUCCCUGCCAUAGUUGGUGUUCUUCCUUGGAGACCUGAAAAAAAGAUGUUAGAGAGAGAGAGAGAGAGAGAGAGAGAGAGAGAGAAGGAGGGAGAGGAGAGGAGAGGAGAGAGAGAGAGAGAGGCUUACGAGAAGAAUGGACAAAUGGUAUUGAAGCCACCAUUAGAACGAGUAUGAAGGUUGAAAUCCCAGCAAAAAUGUGAGCUUUACUCUUUCCCAUUUGAUUUGUUGAUCCCAGAAAAUUGCAGAGGAGAGAAAGAGAGAGAAG
Molecule: long non-coding RNA, 648 nt
Filed under: Malus domestica (apple)
Lineage: Eukaryota; Viridiplantae; Streptophyta; Magnoliopsida; Rosales; Rosaceae
Description: long non-coding RNA (MDOM_LNC009863)
Source: RNAcentral